GUUCAUUUUUUUUACAUAAAUAAGGCCGUUAGUUUUCUCGUUUGAAUUGUUUUACAUUGUCUUAUCGGGGCCUUUUAUAGCUGACUAUGCGGUAUGGGCUUUGCUCAUUGUUGAAGGCCGUACGGUGACCUAUAGUUGUUAAUGUUUGUGUCAUUUUGUCUUUUGUGGAUAGUUGUCUCAUAGGCAAUCAUACCACAUUUUCUUUUUUUUUUAUUCACUGAUAUUUAAAGUGGGGUUAGUUGGCAUGUUUAAGAUCGUAAAUUUAAGUUCAUCGUCUAUUUCUUUAGUAUUUUUCAUACUUGGUGGGAUGAAAUCGCAGACCAUUAUUCAGUGGUAUUUUAAUCCUUUUCAUAAGUUUUGGGUGCCGGGUGCAUUUUAGAAAGUGGGCGAGUUGGUGAAAAAGUGGGGCGAAUCGGUGUGGGGCGAGUCAUCAUAGUAUACAAAAAGGAUCAGAAAGUUGGUUUCUCUCCCCCGAACUAUUAUAGUGUUCUAUAACUACAGAUGCUCGUUGCUCGGUGAAAUCUAAAUGUAUUUCAUCUUCAAAAGACGACCUGUCACUGUCUUAAGUACUAUAUUUGUGCUAAUUUAUGUUUUAAAUAUGUUAACACAAGCUUGUACUCUGAGUGUUACUCAGGUCAAUCUUCCGUUUUUUGCUCCUGAGUCCUGGUCAGGUUGUCUCGGACUCUCCUUGACACAUUCCCAGUUGAUAAUCUUUGGACUUCUAUUCUGUAUUUCUGGAGAUUAUUUAAAUGAAUUGCCGUUUACUAUAUAGAAGGCAGAACAGAGACCAGGGCCGUGAGGGGCGGAUCCAGCUAUUUAAAAAAGGGGGUGUUUCAACCACAUGUCCCCAUUCAACAUGUUCAAAUCAUGCAUUGAUCGUCUAAAAAGGGGGUUCCAACCCCAAGAACCCCCUCCCCUGGAUCCGCCACUGUAAACAUGUUGCAGUUAAGUACAAUUUCCAACAUCCAAUGGAUUUAGUGUAAAGAGGUAAUAAACAGUGACAAAGAAAAACAUGACCUUGUGCAAUGCCAAAAUACCGAGCAAAAUACAGGUAUGAACAGAUUGUAGAUCUAUGAAUGUAUAUAUGUAUACAACAAUAAUAUUUAGUCUCCUUUUAAUUUACUGAUAACAAAAUCAAUAUUAUACCAAUAAGACAUUAUUCAAUGAUCUAAUCAUUGUGUUGAAUUGAUAACCUUUUUUCUCUAAUUCUUCGUCAAUUUAUCCCUUUCUGCACCCAUUGUAUAAAAAGAAUUUAAUCAACAUGUGGUUCGUUUGAUCUUAGAACUUCAUUGGUUAACAUGGUUAAAAUCCGAUUAUGACAUGUAUGACGUCGAAAUUUCUUGCUUUCCUCUGAAAUUCCUAUUGUGACGGCAUGAAAAAAGGCGACCAUGCCUGAUGACGUCACAUAGAAAGAACACAUCUUUUUGCAGAUCAUUCGAAAACAAGGAAUAAGUUUACCUGCAUAAUGUUAGAAAAUCAUUAGAGAAACAGAUUCCACCACCAUUGGCACCAAAUCUCGUGUAAUACCUCGCGUUUUUAAUUUGAAAAUUUAACUGUCUCGAGUGGAUAAAUAUCGUAUUACACUCGAUGCAGUGGUAGAAUCUAUAUAUACAUGUAAUAUAACAGUGUUAAAAGUAUUUUUUUAAAGAAUAAUGUUUUCUUAUCAUGUCAAUAAAAAUAAUGUUAUUUUGAUUUAUAACACAUAUAUUUUAAAUUUCAGAUCAGUCUCUUACUAAUUUACAAACACAUGUACAGCAUAUAACAUGUAUAUCAGAAUGUACAGACGAUAUAAAGAAAAUACAGGUGAAUUUUGGGACAUCAGUAUUAAAGAUUAAUAAAAAGAAAUUCACAGGAACAACUUUGUUUGGUCUCAUGAUAAAUGAUACAAAGAAACUGCUGAAGUUCUGGCUCGACACUGGAGAAUUCUUAAAAGACAGGGAAAGAUAUGUUCAAGAAUCUUCUUCUAGUGGUGAGCAAUCAGAAGGAGAGGAUGAGUAUUACAAUGAGCCGGUCCAGAACAUUGAUAACCUUUCAAAUGAAGACAACCCCUUUGUUACACAACUGUCACAAAUUUUACCAGAAAGAGCUAUCAGUAUAAAACAUUUGGAUGUUCAACAUGCUGAAGACAAUUUUUCUCAAGAAUCAAAAAAAAAAGGAUGAAAGCUUAACUGAUGAGUCCACAAUGCAAGGUUGAACAGAAGACAGUUGAUGAAAAGUAUUAGUUUAAAGGCAAUUGGGUUCAAAUUCCUAGACAUAUUUAAUUUAAAAGAUCCACCAAAAAGGUUCAAAGUCAGAGAAGCUGAUGAAAACUUUGUUGAAAAAAUAGCGAAAGUAAUGGUUGAAAAAAAUUCUGUAAGUGUUGAUAAUGCUCCAAAUAUAAUUGGCCUUAUUGACAUAAAAAAUAAGGUUGAUUACAAAGAAGAAAAUUUUUCUAAAUAUGAGGUAUAUAUAGUGGAUGGGAACCACAGUAUUAAAGCACAAAAAGAGGCAUACAUACAGACAAAAGACGAACUGUUCAGGCAUCGUGGAGUUUUCAUAUACUGUGGUUUAACAGAAAAUGAAGCAAUUCUGCUUGGAAUCAGCAGAAAUGAGGACACUGAAUCGUUUGUGAAGUUCUCUGAUUUUCAGAAGGUUGAUGUACUGAGGCGUCGAUUGUAUUCCAUGACAGGCACACCAGCCCACGCUGAUCCACCUACAGUUCCUAAAGAAUUUAAGGAUGUAUUUAUCACUCUACUUAACUUGCAAGGUAAAAAAGCAGUAGACAGCAAAAGCAUGCUGAGGUUCCUUGCAACUGGACUUUCCUAUCAAUGCUAUGAACUGUUUAAGAAUAUAUGCUCAAAAAGCACUGGAAAGGUUCCGGCAUCAAAAUUUGAUGGAAUAAAGGGUUUGAAGGAAGAAGAUGCAUUAUUUUGUCUCAUCAAUCUCUCAAGUAGCAACCUUCAAAGAAAAGAUUGGCAGAAAUUUAACUACUUGUGUCAAAGCAAGCAAUCAAAGCCAAAAAAGUUGAGGAAAGAUGUAACACUAAAUAUAAAGUUCCAAACAAAGUGUACUCAGGGUUUUGUUGGACAGAAACAACUUGCAGGGAAUUACACCUGGUUUCAUUUCACUGAUUGUAAUAACAAGCAGAUUAUCUUAACUGAUAAAGAAAUGGAAAGGCUGGUGUUUUCAUCAAAAGACAAGAGGCUUCCUAUUUCUUCAACUCCAAAUUUGGAUGAUGAACAAGAUUUUUUGGAUAGAUUCUCAUCUCAAAGAAGCAGUGACCUUGAUUCACAUGAUUCAACAGAUCAAUUUUUGACAGGAGCAGAAUGUGCAGCUACAACUUCACUUCCGGGAACUACAAGUUUUUCAUCUAAUGGUAGCAAAAGUUCCCUGGGUAUAUCAUUUUCAAUGAAACUAAGUGGGUUUUUACAUCACAUGGCUGAUUCAGAUGCUGUUUUAAGAGCAGAAUCAGGAAUGUCCUUAAUUGAAGAAGAAGAGGUGGAGACAAAGCCAGAACAGUUGAUCAGUUAUACUGAUGUGUUGUUGUGUCCAGAAACACAAACUGCAGCAGAGCCAUACUUUAGUACAGAUGCAUGGCAGCUUGUUUUAAAUACUCUCAAAGUAUAAGAAGAUAUGUAUAUUGUUAACACUCAGAAGAAAUAUGAUAUGAUUUCUCCAUCUUGGACAAGAAAAGGCAAAGCUUUAAUAGGAUCAGCUAAAGGAAGAAUAUUUAAAAAGUGUUCAAAAAAGAAAUCAGACCAGAUUGAUUCAGGUAA
This is an RNA transcript of Mytilus californianus (California mussel), 3755 nucleotides long. RefSeq lists it as uncharacterized. The record is from RefSeq and is a predicted model, not a curated record. The transcript has 13 exons. Lineage: Eukaryota; Metazoa; Mollusca; Bivalvia; Mytilida; Mytilidae.